Molecule: long non-coding RNA, 4279 nt
Organism: Daucus carota subsp. sativus
Lineage: Eukaryota; Viridiplantae; Streptophyta; Magnoliopsida; Apiales; Apiaceae
Exons: 5
Source: RefSeq, a predicted model, not a curated record
AUGAUCCGACCCAGCAGUUAACUUCCCACAGCAUUCCUCUUUCUUCUCUCUUUUCCAAACUGCUCCAUGAUUUCAGGACCCGUUCCUGACCCACUAUUCAAUAUAUUCUACUACAGUUUACAAACCUGAAUUCAAAUUUUGUUUGUUCAAAACACGGAGAAACUGCUCCAUGAUUUCAGCAACCGAUACACACGUUCACAUUCAAAAUCAAGCAUCUUUCGAACCUAAUCAGUGAUAAGAUCUCAUGGGGAAUUUUUUUUUUAUUUUUAAAUCCAUCUCUUCCCUUUCAUAGGUGGUUAUCAAACAAGUACAAAAAAUCCGCUCUGUGUUCUGUGCCACCUUCUUCUAUCCGAGAGAACCAUAGAGGACGUCGUGUUGAUGAAAAUGGACUUGCUGGUGAUGUUAUUCAGAUGAUUGAAAAUGUCCACCCCAAUUCACAUACCACGCGCGGGAACUAAUGAUUUCAUUAAAACAGGCUUCCAUCUCUUCGUAUCACAACCAAGAAACUGUCAAAAGGAUCUCCUGAUUUUAUUGCUGAGAUUGUGCCAAAGAGAAAUCAUUCUGUGCCGGCUAGCGUGUUAACUGAUCUUCCCCAACAAAGCAGUAUCAGGAGUUUCCAUAGUUUUAUUGGAUACUCACAUGGUAAAUCCUGUCAUUUGUUCUUUUUAAUUGUUUGCUUUUGCUGAUAGAUGGACAUGCCCGGCACUGAAUUGUACAGUGGUAUCCCCUUUUCCUCUAUGUUCUUUGGUCUAAUGUGUUUUAGUUAAGAUAGUUAAGUAGUAAGAUAAUUUUUUAUUAACAUAUCCAGUUUCCCAGUAGUUUGGUUGUUUAAUAAUAAGUGGAAUGUCAAGUUUAACUGGUUAGAAUCUUUGUACCUUUUUAUUAAUAAAUUUAAUGGCCAUUAAGAUUAGGGGAUGUAAUUUUAUAUGUUUAUUGACAGGGUUCAACGCAACAAAUACCAUAGAAUGUUGUUGUAGAAAUGCUGAUUGUUCCCAGAUUGACGAUUUCAUCAUAACUCUCCGAGGCUCCGCUGCAAUUGUCAGUGAUUUUUGUUUAUUAUUCGUGGGGUUUUGGAUUAAUAUUGCUUUGUUUGAAACCCUUUUUCAGGUUAUGCUGCAAACAUGUUUGGAUUGCAUAGUUGAUAUGGAUUUUGCACUUUAUUUUAGUAAUUUUUUAUUUAUGUGGCAAUGUAAAAUAUGUGUGGUUUGUGCCUAUUUAUUUAUUAUUUAUUAUUUAUAUUUAUUUGACUUUUUGAGUUUAUUAUCAUUCUUCGAGCAGGUGGAUAAAAUGGAGAAAGUCGCGUAAGGCAGAGUUUGGAUCGGAAAUGAUGUUGCUUCACGAGGACAACUGUUUCGUCAUGGCAAGAAUCGAGACAUUCCAGGUGCAGCAUAAACCUUUCACUAUUAUGCAGGGGCAGCAGAUAAUAUACAUGGAGAUACACUGAAGAUGUCGAUGGACUAUCAAGCAUAUAUGUUGCUGAAUCCUGUUGGCGUCGUCGUGCACAUCAUCCCUUGGAACUUCCCGGCUCAAAUGUUUGCUAUGAAGGUUGCUCAAUCAUUAGCUGCUGGCUGCACCAUGGUUGUCAAACCUGCUGAGCAGGCGCCUCUUUCAGCUUUGUACUAUGCUCAUAUGACGAAGCUGGUAGGACACCUAAAUAGUAUGCCGCAAUACCUAGGUUCAUGUACAAGUAUUAUUUCUGCUGAUUUAGGACCUGCAUGUACUUUGUCUAUCCAAGUUUAUACAGUUUGUGUGUUUGCGUGACACAGUUUCACAAUCUUUUACCUCAUGUUUUUUGUCCAGGUACACGGAUUUGUACUUCAUCUCUGGCUGGUAAAACAACAAAAAUGCCUUACUACCCUACCCAAAGUUCAGGUUCAAAUAUUAUAUUCAUCAAGUACGAAGAAUAUAGUGACUUUAGCUCUGAAUAUAUUAUCAAGUCCACUAUAGUUAUUGGUAGUACAUGCAUUGGAAUCAGGAUUCUAAUCCUUAUGGUCUUUAGUUUUAGGUUAUUCUAGGUCGGAAGUGAACUCCAGUUAGGCUGUUCUAUGCUUUUGCAAUGGAAAAUGGUAGUAUUACCUUGAAUAUAUUAUCUGGUAUAUAUCAAUAUAUGUGUCUCUUGAAAUUUUGAACUACAUAUUGAUUUCAAUUUUGUGUAUAGAUCCUAAGCGCAGAUUACACACUUGAGCAUGCAUACAUAAACAAGUUAAGUCGAGAAACAUGACAAUAUUUUGUUUGAUAUGACUACUGAAAAGAGAUGAGUGAAUUUGCAGAAGUUAUAUAAGAGCUUGCACAAUAGCUAUUGGACUUGCUAAGUUGCUAUGUGAUAAUCUUGACUUAAAAAAGCUUUCUACUGCUAGCGCACACAGAUUUUGGCAGGAUCAUCUGGCAAUUUCAAGAUUACCAUGUUAGUGGCCUCUAGCUUCUCAAAAUGGCGAACGGAUUGAUGUUCAGCUUAUGCUCCACUGUAUUACUGUAUCAACUUAGGUGACCAACUCACCCCCAUCUCCACCUGGCUACAAUUUUAUACAAUAUAUGUAGUUACUUUCAUGAUCAAAAAGCUCGAAAUCGAUCUCAAGUCGAAGGAUGAGAUCUAUUACAAUUCUCUCUAAUCAGUAUAGUGGCUUGAUGAUUUUUGUCCUAGGUAAGUUUUUUCAUUUUUUAAGCCAGUCUUCUUUUUUCAAAUCGAUGGUUGUUUUGGUUGUGCUGGCAAGAUAAUUUUAUGUUCCUAUAUAAAUGAUUUACGCACAACAAACUUUAUUGUGAAAGGAGUAACAAAUGUUUAAGAAGGCUAUAUAUUUGUGAGCAGUCUGCUCAGCUUUUCCAACACAAAAAAGGCACAGGCAUCACUAAGCAGUUGAAACAGAAAGUUGCAUAUCUGAUCUCUCGAUGAAAAAUUACUUUGCGAUUAAAAUUUGAUUGUGUGCUCGCUAACAGUUUUCUUUCUCUUUUCAAGGUGCACGCGGAUGAACCAGUAUUGCAAGCAUUUAAACUGAUGAGGUAAGAGGGAUUCGGUAGGUUACCAGUGGUUGAAAGUAAUGGCAAUAUGGUAAUAUAAGCAUCAGAGACAUUCAGUUCCUACCACUUGCACCUGCUGUUUACAAGAAAUAAAGCCUAAAGGUAUCGAAGUUGGGUUAUUUAUAUUUCAGCAGCUUGAUCACUUGGAUGCUAAUCAUGGUAAGAUAGUUCCAGAUCGCUAUUAUUACUCAGCUGGUAAUGUAUUCACUUAAGGUUAUUUGACUGCAUCUAAUUAUGUUUUUCAUUCUUUUACUUUUCAUGAUUCCAUAUCAUCGUAGUGGAGUCGAGGAUAUACAAAUUCAAAGUACCACACGUUAACGGUUAACUAUCUUUUAUGCCUGUAAGAGCACUAUUAUACUGUUUCUGGAAUCCCCCGGCUGUAGCUUUCCUUUCCUGUAAACAAACAUAUAGCAUCACAAUUUAAUUGCUUUAACCUUUAUUUUAAAUUUAAAUUAUGACUCCUCUUUAUUCUAAAAUCAGCUCCUAUAAUAUCUUUACUGAUAUCCGUUGAAGUUAGUUUGUUUGACCUGUAUUUCUAUUCUGAGAGUUGAUUAUAAUAUUACUGGAUUUACACCCUUAUAUCAGAGUCGUUUCUUUCUUGGAAUUAGUUGAGAUUUAAGAUGGGAUCCAGAAAAGUUAGGAUAUAACCACACCCAUUAAGUUUCUGAUAGCAAACCUCAAACCCAUUGUUACGAACAACUGUGCAAAAUUACUUGACAUGCUGAUUUUGAUUGCCAAAUUUCAAGCAUUAAAGUUUCAACUGGUAGUAUAUCUAUUCAAGUCGACUCAGAGCUCGGUCCUCUCCGAGUCUGCAGUGCUCUAGAAGCAAGAAGUUUAUUGUUUCUUACAAGUAGAAUGAAUAGUUUAGACGUUAACUAUGCAAUUCAGAGAGCCCCGUCCACCUGCAGGAGACGGACUUUUUUUUUUUGUUUUUGCAGGCAGGAGAUUGUUCUGUACAAUGUGUUGAGAACGCUUCACGAGAAAUUUAUCCUGCCGUCUUUCUAAGAGUCCAAGUUGAGGAGCUAGCAAGGUUUCAGAGACACAUUCUGUUUCUGUUGGGGACAUGUUUAUUAAGCUAAUAAAGUUGUAUAAGUUGAUGGUUUUGUGAAUUCCGGAGAUCCUGCAUCUCUUGCAAACGUGAACCAGUAUAUGUUGCCUAUAUAGAAGAAUAUAGUGUUCCUCCUGUGACUAUAAACUGGUUUUUGGUUAAUUUUUUGUACAAACUUUGUUGUCGGUAUGAAAUCUUCUUUCAGAAUAUAGUGAU